Molecule: ribosomal RNA, 846 nt
Filed under: Cetrariastrum dubitans
Lineage: Eukaryota; Fungi; Ascomycota; Lecanoromycetes; Lecanorales; Parmeliaceae
Description: partial small subunit ribosomal RNA
Rfam family: Bacterial small subunit ribosomal RNA
Source: RNAcentral
AGGAAUGUAUAGCAAUAGCUAGUUGCAUCAUUGUAAAUAUGAUGCAAGAUUGNCUAUGUUGAAUAAAAUUCUAGGUAGAAUUAUGAUAAUGACAUUGUCUGCCUAUGUGUCUUGACCAAAUUACGUGCCAGCAGUCGCGGUAAUACGUAGAAGACUAGUGUUAUUCAUGUUUAAUCGGUUUAAAGGGUACCUAGACGGCAGAUCAAGCUUUACGAGCAGGAAAAAGAAAAAGGGCUAAUUUGCUAGAGUUACUUACGAGGGGGUUUUAAAGUACUGCUGGUGUAGAGAUGAAAUUCUGUCAUACCUCUUUUCGUAAGAAAAAUAAUGGCACAGGUAUAGGCGAAGGCAUCCCCUUAUGUGAUAACUGACGUUGAGGGACGAAGGCUUUAUUUAAUGAACAGGAUUAGAUACCCCAGUAGUGGAAGCAGAAAAUGAUGAAUGUCAUAGAUUAGCUAGAUAGGUUCAUUCUAUAAAUGAAAGUGUAAGCAUUCCACCUCAUGAGUAAUUUGGCAACAUUGGAAUUGAAAUCAUUAGACCGUUUCUGAAACCAGUAGUGAAGUAUGUUGUUUAAUUUGAUGAUCCGCAAAAAACCUUACCACAAUUUGAAUAUUUAUAUUUUUUUUUAUUGUUAUCUUCUUAAUUUUGUUCCUUUUUUUUUUUUUACAGAGAUAAUAAAGUAUUAAAGAAAAGAGGAAAAAAACUAAGCUAGAGGCAAUAACAUAUAUUUACAAGCGUUGCACGGCUGUCUUCAGUUAAUGUCGUGAGACUUUGGUUAGAUCCAUUAAAUUAACGUAAACCCUUACUUUAUUUUUAGAUAGAGUUGUUCCCCACUAUAUUGGAUUCGAU